Molecule: long non-coding RNA, 860 nt
Filed under: Ananas comosus (pineapple)
Lineage: Eukaryota; Viridiplantae; Streptophyta; Magnoliopsida; Poales; Bromeliaceae
Description: long non-coding RNA (ACOM_LNC015420)
Source: RNAcentral
UAUAUAUAUAUGCAGUUAGAAUGAUAGUGGUCCACCAAAGUUGAGUAGGUGGUUGGUUGAAUAACAUGAUCUAACAGAUAGAAAUGAUUAAAGAUGUAAAUCUAUAUAAUGGUAGAAACUUUGUAGCACGAAGUGCUUGUUGCUAUUAGAAGCACCCUAGGUGUGUGUAUAUAUAUGCUUUCGAAAGUACGGAGGUCUCCGUGCUUGUAAGUUGUUUUCGAUGAUAGGGCAUCCGAUUCGACGAUCGGCUCCGUUAGGCAUAAUCUAUGCUAUUGGAACUAUUUAGAAAUCAAAUUUUAUAAUUUUUUGACAUCAUUUACCAAGCGAUCACAGUGUCUCAAAAAUGACUAUUUUAACGGCCGAUGUGGCACGUUUUUAAGUUCAACGGUGUAGAAAUAUCCAAAUUACAUGAAAAUUUAAUAAAAAAUUCUACUUAACAUCAAGAGUAAGAACAAUACUUCCGAUUUGAAAUUUGAGUCCUUUAUCACUGUUUUUUAUGUGAUUUUUAUUUUCAACCGUUCUUCAGCCGUUCAUUUUGAGGAUACUCAUUCACUAGGCAAACGAAGUCAAAAAAUUAUGAAAUUUGAUUUCUAAAUAGUUCUAAUAGCGUAGAUCAUGUCUAACAGAACCGAUCGCCGAAUCAGACGUCCCAUCAUCAAAAACAACUUACAAGUACGGAGGCCUCCGUACUUUCGAAAGCAUAGGAGCCUAACACACACACUCUCUCUCUCUCUCUCUCUCUCUCUCUCUCUCUCUCUAUAUAUAUAUAGACUAGGGCUACUAUACUCUUUUGAGUAUACACUCUUUUGUACUUAUAAAUUUUGGACCGUUGGAUAAAGGGAUGUGAGGUUAGGAUGAUA